GACCACUGCGCCACCCAGCGAGGGAGGCCACAUAGUUGUAAUUUAUUAAAAUUAUAUUUCUUAACUAUAGCCUACACAAUAGCUUUCAACAUACCCAGUAUUUGUAUAAACUUUCAAAAUAAUUGGUGGUUUAAAAAAUAAAAUGCGUACAACUAUCUUUUUAUUUAUUUUUUCCCCCAGAGGUGGUUGCAAUGCUGUGAAAGACCGUUGUACUGCACCAGAGUGCAAAAACAAAAAAUGGAUAUUCCCAAAGUGAACAUGUCUUUGCAGGAGGACUCUUAUUUUGGAGGAAAUAAAUCUGUGAUCAUGCUGCCAGCAUAAUAUCCUGCUGCUAGGAGAAAGGUAAUCAUUUUCUCUCAUCUUUCUUUUGCAGGUUUAUCUGCAUAUACCCUUCCUAUGUAAACAGUAAGAAGACCCUUGCAGAGGGGAGACGGAUACCCGCUGAAAAGGCAGUGGAGAACCCUACUUGUGCUGAGAUCCGUCAUGUAUUGACAGUAGGGGGGGCAAAUGUUCUUAUGGAGAACGAGAUGUACUCUAGAGAGUGGAACAGGGAUGUGACGUUCAGAGGAAGAGUGUGUGUACAGCUGAAGCAGGAGGAUGGAACUCUCUGCUCAGACAAGUUCGCGUCACAUAAGUGCUUGUUUGUGAAGGGGAGAAGCAAUGACCUAUGGCUGAAGUUAGAAAAACGGGAAGCAAU
This is a non-coding RNA of Salvelinus sp. IW2-2015, 697 nucleotides long. NCBI's taxonomy places the organism in Eukaryota, Metazoa, Chordata, Actinopteri, Salmoniformes, Salmonidae. The record is from RefSeq and is a predicted model, not a curated record.